ACUGAUAUUCGCGCCUCUACCUCUACCAUGCUCUGGGGUGAUUUGUCUUGGUUGCAAUAUGCUUUGACUUUCGGCUGGAGAUGCCCUUUUCUUCUCAAGGCUUCAACUGGUGCUUCCUGCUCUGGCCGGGCUUGGGUGCUGCUGGCUUGAAAGAGUCGUUUGCGCCUCUUCCACUGGAGAGCUGGGCUUGCUGCGGCUUGGGUCUCCUUUCGUCUGUUCAGCGAUGCUGGUGGGGCUUGGUAGCGGCUUGAAGUUCUUUUUUUUUUUUUUUUAAUUGUGGCUACGCUAAAUUUUUAUCGAUUAUCGGUAUUGGCUCAGUAAAGAUCGCCCCUAAUCAUGAUUAUACAUUCAAUGCGCAUUACUUAGGCCUCCUGCAACAUUGGGAGAGCUGCUGCUUAUUGGGUGGGAUUAGACGAUUUGUUUAAUCUGGAAAAUUGCUUUGGGGGUUUCAGUUCCUGAUUCCUGUCAUUUGUCCUCCGAGGCUAUUCGGUUGUUGUCAGGUUUGGUUUUCUUUCCUGCUGUUCUUGUUUGGUUAGCUUUUCUUACCCUUUUUUAUGUACCUGUGCUUGCUAUGGUGUCAUUUCAUGUCCUAUUAUAUUAGGUUUUAAAAAAUGGCAGCUAUUCGGUUGUUGUCAGGUUUGGUUUUCUUUCCUGCUGUUCUGGUUUGGUUAGCUUUUCCUACCCUUUUUAUUGACCUGUGCUUGCUAUGUUGUCAUUUCAUGUCCUAUUUUACUAGGUUUUAAAAUAUGGCAGCUACUAUUGCCCUUGGGCUCGCCAUGCUUUUACGUCCUUUCUUUUGGGUUGGGGAGUGCAGAUAGGCUCAUUUGUGUUUCGAUUUGUUUUUUUUUUUUUUCCAUGCCUCUAUACAUGCUUGCUUCCUCUUUUUGUUCAUUUAGCUUUCUACCAUUGGUCCUCCUGGUGCAUCUUUUUGUGCAACUUUUCUUCCUCUGUUAUCGUUAGCUUGGUUCUGUCUUUCUUUUUUCGAUGUUAAUUUCUUUGAGGUUAUCUUCCUAGGUUUUGGUUUUCUUUCAUUGAAUAUGCUGGCUUGUUUUGUGUUCAUAGUGUCUCAUAGGAAUAGUUUUCCAGUAGGCUUGCUGAGGCUUUUGUCUCCUUUGUGGAUGUUCUUCUUGGCCAGAGGAUCAUGGAACUGUCUUAGUCUUUGAUCGGCCAGCUUUCUGAACUCAGUUGUGCGCUUUUUUACCUAUUGAUCCACUGUUAUCUUGGGCUCUUUCAUUCCUAAUUUAUCUGAGCUUGAGAACUUCAGCCUUCUACCGCAUAUCCACUGAGACACUUUAUUGGAUAAAAUAAAGAGAUUUGGCCAGGACUGCUUCAUUUUCCUCCGUUGCUUCAUAGGCGACUGUUUUUACAGGUUCACUUAUGAUUUUUUUUACCAAUUAAAAUGUUUUUGUUUGCUGUGCUGGCCUAAAGAAAGGUGCCUAACAGCCUGUUAACCUGCGCUUGAGAUCUCAUCCACUUGGUUGGGACCGCUACCUUCUUUUCGCUGUUUUUUCUGCUUCUGUUUGUCCAAGUUUGUUUCUGCUCUUAUCCUCCUGCCCAUCCCUUUGGUUUUCAUUAUUGAGGAGCAGUAAUCCAAUUCUUCAGCAGCCCUUAAUUUGUGUGGGAACAUGAAACGCUUCCGGUCCUGUGAUAAACAGUGGAACUCAUGUGAAGAACAUUGAUUAUCAACCUGAGCUCAACGAGUUUUAGGUCAGCACCCACUGGAGAGAACUGACUUCUAUGAAAGUUUACCAUUUAUUUUAUAGCAUCUUUGAUCAAGAAAGAAGAUUGUGACGGAGUUGAUAUAAUUGAUUAGUCAAUAUACAUUGCGUAGGCAACACUUAAAAGAAAGCAUAAGUAUUGCCUGCAAAAAAAAAGACGGCACCUUUUGUUUUCUUUUGACACUGUGAGGCUAGAUUUAAAUGCAGUGAGUGGAAGAGAAGGGUUCGACAACAAGAGAGGGUGGGUGGCAUUUAAUGUUAGCUGAAAAACCUCCAAAGUUAAGUUAAAAUCUGAAAAGUCAUUCAUUUUUUUCCUCCAUUUCCGAAUUAUUUUUUGCUGUUCUAAAAUCAUUUUUGUGUCUGUAAUGUUGAGUUUGAGUUUGGAGAUCAUUUUGACAGUACUGACAUGCAAUGCCUCUAGAAUCACAUGCCAUCUUUGGGUCUACAGUAUUGAGGUUGUUGUGUCUGUUUGUCGUUCUAGCAGAGAUCUAUGUUACUGAAUCCUUCUCUGUCAUUCGCACUUUUACAAUUAGCUUUUUUUAUCCCUCUGCACAUUUUUUGGUUGGAUGCUGCACAUUCAAAUUAAGGUGUUGAUAUACUGCAAUGAUUUAUACUACAGACUUGAUUGUAUAUGCUAAUCACUGCUGCGUAUUUCUUUAGGAACACACUUUUAUGGCUCCUGCCAGUUUUACUCAAGCAUGUCCUUACUUUUUUGGCGACUUCUCCGUAAUGUUUACCGUUGCAUCAGCUUUUUUUGCCCCUGAUUCGUUGCAAUUCCAUGCAGCGAAUCAGCUUCGCAUGAUUACCUUAUUUCACUCUGCCUUUUCUACUUAUUACUUUCGCUGUUAGAUUAUGAUUCAUGCUUUUUGAAAAGAUUGAGAGUUGAUUCAUGCUUUUUUGAUUUUCUAGCUUAUACCAAUGCCAAUGACAAGAAUGAAUCCUGUAUUUAGAGCUUUGGGUGGCCACUUAAUUAGGAAUUACCCGAGAAUCUUUUGAAAACAGGGGAUUUUUUUGUGUUUUUGUAUAUUUUAGAGUCAGGUUGGGAUUUGCCCUAUUCUUGCUCUUGCUAGAUUUGCUACUUGGAUAUGAUGGAAAAUGGGAAGGAAAUUUCGAGAUUCGUAUAACCCAGAUUUAGCAAGUCUCCCUUUGAGCUGCUUGGAUUGUUUUUUCUUAGAAUUUGCAAAGAGGCAAGACCUUUGUAUUUAUACGUAAGCAUUGGUGAUUACAUAAUGAGUUUUCUGUCAAGAACAAUUAUGAUAGAUUGUGUUAACUUCUUUUGCUCUUAGCCUAGCCACUGUUUGUUUCAGUCGAGCUGGAAAACUAUUGUUUUAGACAUGGUUUCUUUCCUAGCUUAAGACAACCACUUUAGCUAUGGUUCUCAUUUCAAGCAAUGGUCACACGCACGGCUGCACUGUUCUCACAUUUUAUUUUCUUUUUUUGCCUAUAACUUGCCUUAACUUGACUCAUUACGCCCAUCUCUUCGUUUCCCUUUUUUUAUCCAUUUUGUUUUUGUUUUCCCAGCACUCAUCUACAUUUGGCAGCCUUGCUAGCUGGCUUUUCCAACAUAUCUUUAUGUUUCUAUUCAUCCUUUCAUGCUUAAAAAUAUGCUCCACAGGUCGACUAGCUCUCCGACGAGGAUGCUUGGUUGAGAGGUGUCCGGCAAAAUAGGUGGUUUUUUUGUUGUUUUUUACAGAUAAGAACAUGCAUAACACAGCCCCAUUUCAGCACCUUCGUUGUCAAAAAAUGCUCGUGGCACCUGCUGUUGGGGGUUUUAUUUGUUGUUUUCCCGACUUUUCUUGGGCAGCCACUCCAUGUUAAGAUAUCAUAAAGCAUGGAUUAUGCUUAUUUACAACUUUAUCGCUGUCUCACAUCAAGAUUUCUAUGUUUUUCGCUUCGUACUUAAACAUACUCACAACUAUGCUUUAUGUGCUUUCACGCUCUGUGUUUCUCAUCCAUUCAACUCCAUCAUUCAAUGGUUUAUGAU
Molecule: long non-coding RNA, 3702 nt
Organism: Populus euphratica (Euphrates poplar)
Lineage: Eukaryota; Viridiplantae; Streptophyta; Magnoliopsida; Malpighiales; Salicaceae
Exons: 3
Source: RefSeq, a predicted model, not a curated record